RNAcentral lists this ribosomal RNA (468 nucleotides) under uncultured bacterium. Its description in RNAcentral is "partial 16S ribosomal RNA". It matches the Rfam family "Bacterial small subunit ribosomal RNA", at positions 28 to 507 of the family's 1533-position model. The record is from RNAcentral.
GACGAACGCUGGCGGCGUGCUUAACACAUGCAAGUCGAACGGAAAGGCCCUGCUUUUGUGGGGUGCUCGAGUGGCGAACGGGUGAGUAACACGUGAGUAACCUGCCCUUGACUUUGGGAUAACUUCAGGAAACUGGGGCUAAUACCGGAUAGGAGCCCCUGCUGCAUGGUGGGGGUUGGAACGUUUCGGCGGGUGGGGAUGGACGCGCGGCUUACCAGCUUGUUGGUGGGGUAGGGGCUUACCAAGGCUUUGACGGGUAGCCGGCCUGAGAGGGUGACCGGGCACAUUGGGACUGAGAUACGGCCCAGACGCCUACGGGAGGCAGCAGUGGGGAAUAUUGCACAAUGGGCGGAAGCCUGAUGCAGCAACGCUGCGUGCGGGAUGACGGCCUUCGGGUUGUAAACCGCUUUCGCCUGUGACGAAGCGUGAGUGACGGUAAUGGGUAAAGAAGCACCGGCUAACUACGUG